GACGAACGCUGGCGGCGUGCCUAAUACAUGCAAGUAGAACGCUGAAGGAGGAGCUUGCUUCUCUGGAUGAGUUGCGAACGGGUGAGUAACGCGUAGGUAACCUGCCUGGUAGCGGGGGAUAACUAUUGGAAACGAUAGCUAAUACCGCAUAAGAGUAGAUGUCGCAUGACAUUUGCUUAAAAGGUGCAAUUGCAUCACUACCAGAUGGACCUGCGUUGUAUUAGCUAGUUGGUGAGGUAACGGCUCACCAAGGCAACGAUACAUAGCCGACCUGAGAGGGUGAUCGGCCACACUGGGACUGAGACACGGCCCAGACUCCUACGGGAGGCAGCAGUAGGGAAUCUUCGGCAAUGGACGGAAGUCUGACCGAGCAACGCCGCGUGAGUGAAGAAGGUUUUCGGAUCGUAAAGCUCUGUUGUAAGAGAAGAACGAGUGUGAGAGUGGAAAGUCCACACUGUGACGGUAUCUUACCAGAAAGGGACGGCUAACUACGUG
This 495-nucleotide ribosomal RNA is filed under the name uncultured bacterium. RNAcentral's name for it is "partial 16S ribosomal RNA". It matches the Rfam family "Bacterial small subunit ribosomal RNA", at positions 28 to 507 of the family's 1533-position model. The record is from RNAcentral.